Molecule: transfer RNA, 70 nt
Filed under: Ictidomys tridecemlineatus (thirteen-lined ground squirrel)
Lineage: Eukaryota; Metazoa; Chordata; Mammalia; Rodentia; Sciuridae
Description: Spermophilus tridecemlineatus (thirteen-lined ground squirrel) tRNA
Rfam family: tRNA
About the family: Transfer RNA (tRNA) molecules are approximately 80 nucleotides in length. Their secondary structure includes four short double-helical elements and three loops (D, anti-codon, and T loops). Further hydrogen bonds mediate the characteristic L-shaped molecular structure. tRNAs have two regions of fundamental functional importance: the anti-codon, which is responsible for specific mRNA codon recognition, and the 3' end, to which the tRNAs corresponding amino acid is attached (by aminoacyl-tRNA synthetases). tRNAs cope with the degeneracy of the genetic code in two manners: having more than one tRNA (with a specific anti-codon) for a particular amino acid; and 'wobble' base-pairing, i.e. permitting non-standard base-pairing at the 3rd anti-codon position.
Source: Rfam by way of RNAcentral
GGGGCUGUGGCUCAGUGGUGGAGCUCUUGCCUAGCAUGUGUGAGGCCCUGGGUUUGAUUCCCCAGCACCA